RNAcentral lists this ribosomal RNA (258 nucleotides) under uncultured bacterium. Its description in RNAcentral is "partial 16S ribosomal RNA". It matches the Rfam family "Bacterial small subunit ribosomal RNA", at positions 524 to 776 of the family's 1533-position model. The record is from RNAcentral.
UACGUAGGGGGCUAGCGUUGUCCGGAAUCAUUGGGCGUAAAGAGCGUGUAGGCGGUCCGGUAAGUCCGCUGUGAAAGUCGGGGGCUCAACCCUCGAAUGCCGGUGGAUACUGUCGGGCUAGAGUGCGGAAGAGGCGAGUGGAAUUCCGUGGUGUAGCGGUGAAAUGCGCAGAGUAUCAGGAGGAACACCGGUGGCGAAGGCGGGGUCGCUGGGACGUUACUGACGCUGGAGACGGCGAAAGCGUGGGGAGCAAACAGG